GCUUACGGCCAUACCAGCCUGUGUACGCCCCUCCUGAUCUCGGAAGCUAAGCAGGGUGGGGCCUGGUUAGUACUUGGAUGGGAGACCGCCUGGGAAUACCAGGUGCUGUAAGCA
RNAcentral lists this ribosomal RNA (114 nucleotides) under Salmo salar (Atlantic salmon). The record is from RNAcentral. Lineage: Eukaryota; Metazoa; Chordata; Actinopteri; Salmoniformes; Salmonidae.